Molecule: long non-coding RNA, 4633 nt
Organism: Gasterosteus aculeatus aculeatus (three-spined stickleback)
Lineage: Eukaryota; Metazoa; Chordata; Actinopteri; Perciformes; Gasterosteidae
Source: Ensembl
GAGGAGGAGGAGGAGGAGGAGGAGGAGGAGGAGGAGGAGGAGGAGAGCGGGGAUGGCGAAGCUGAAAAAUUGCAUUUUGAUGGGUGGCAAAUUGAAUCAGCUCUGCUGCGGAGGCCCGAGGGCCAAGAGGCAGAUUGAAGCGGUCAUGUCAGCGCAGAGAUUACUGCCACGUGUGUGUGUGUCUGUGUGUGUCUGUCUGUGUGUGUGGCUGUGUGUGUGUGUGUGUGUGUGUGUGUGUCUGUGUGUGUGUGAGGGAUGAUUGCCUCCCGCCACUGUCAAAUGAGAAUAUUUGAGCUCACGCUGUGACAGCCACUCACGCCAUCUUCGUGCCCUGACAGCAUCUGCUCGCACAGGUGUGACUGAGAGGACUCAAAGUCACAUUGAAGGAAUCUGAAGCCGUCAUGGAUUCCUUCCCCCCCCCGCGGAGGAAGCGCUCGUCUCCCGGAUGUCUGAGUUGGCUCGGUGAGGGUUUGAACGUCGCACGUGGAACACGCCGGCAGCCCGGGCGCCACCGGGCAGACGGCGUGUUCCACGUGGACCUGUUAUUUCCCGUCUGUCGCGUGUCGCCUCACUGUGGUCUGUUUAUCAGAGCAGCAAAGUCACGUUUUGUCUCUGGAGGCGGUCGUGAAUGCAACAAGAGCCCGAAGAAGUAGAGAAAGAGGAGGAAGAGGAGGAGGAGGAGGCGGAGGUGAACGAGGAGGAGGAGGAGGAAACGUUUUAAUCCCUUCAGGGGGGAUUUAGUUUUUCUUUAAAGCCUGAAAUAGACAUGCACAGAGCGGGGAACAAGGGAAGCUUCGUGCUGCCUUGCCCAAGGGCACCUUCGUAUAUCCAACCGGAAGUGUUUUCUAUCAAACCGUAAAAUUUGCUCAGUAAAUUAUGGUCCAUUUUCAGUGAAACAGACCAUACAGCAGGGGAUGCUUUAGGGCGGGGCUACACACUGAUUGACAGGUCACCUAAUAGACCAUACAGCAGGGGAUGCUUUAGGGCGGGGCUACUCACUGAUUGACAGGUCACCUAAUAGACCAUACAGCAGGGGAUGCUUUAAGGCGGGGCUACUCACUGAUUGACAGGCCUCUCUACCACGGCUUCCUUAUACAACCAUCUUUCAACAGGUGACACUAAAUGUAGUAUUUAUGAGUUUCCUGUGAAGACAGAAGUUCACUUUGAAAAGAUCACACGCACGUAACCCGGCUGUGACACUUGAUGCUGGACUUUCUUGGGAUAUAUUUGAAAAACGAGGGGUGACUUUUGCAAAGAUCCAUUAAAUUCCAGUUUAAUGAUGUUCAAAUUGUACAUCAUUGUGUAUAAUUAUAAUUACUUAGGCUUUGUAGAGAGAUUCAGUCAAUAUCUCGCAGACUAAUGUAUUUAUUUACCACAUCUUUUCUUCUUUUUGUAAUUUGUUCCUGAGAUCUAAAAUGGAUUCCCACAGACUGUCGAGACCCUUUGUCUGUUUCCAAGCAGAUUGGUGGAAUAUUGAAAGCUCUCGAUGUCUUUUGAUCUGCGCAGGAACGUGAACCAAUAAGAGCCGCGCGGAUACAGGAAGCAGAAGAAGGAGCGAUGAAGGAGAGGAAGCGGAGACUCCUCCGGGUCAGUGGAGCGGUCUCGUCUCUGCUGGUAUCCAGUGAGGACGGAGCUCCUCAGCUGCUCUCCAGGGGCUCUCUGAUUGGCUGGCUGUCCCCCAACACGCUACCACAAGGAUUGAUCAUAACAAAGACAGAUCGGCGCAUCUGAGCGCUAAUUCCUUUUGCCAGAAUGGUGCGAGAACCACUUAGAUUAGAUAAACACGGCCCAGUGCGGCUUUGCAUGACUGGAGAAACUCGGCCUGAUGGGAGUAGUUUGCAAGGAAAAUAGCAAAAAACGAGUUUCCCUCGACCAGCAAACACAGAUAUUGGUUUUCGUGAUGCCGCGGUGACCCUCGUGGCCCAGGUUCUGCUCCAUCACCCUGAUCACAGGUGACAGCAGGUCCUCCGCCUAUCGACGAGCACCUGGUUUAGUAAACGCACGCAAGACACAAAAGACACAAAAGACACAAGUGUUUGUGGUGGAAUCCUAAUGGAAGAGUAAAACAAGCGCUUCACGGUGACCCAAAGGCCGCUGGCUUCUCUUCUCUGCAAAUGGCGCGAAUGUCACUGGAGAGGUCGUCUGCAUUUUUCACACAUUAUUAACAAGACGCUGACGCCGCACUGCAUUCUGGUCCCUCUCCUCACCCCAUGCGGAGGGAGAAAAUUGUUCGCAGCGCGUGUUCUCGGGUAGAUUUCUCCCAGUGUGACGGGCGUCCGUCGCUCGGGGAUUCAGACAGACGGACAAAAUCCACAUUUUAGCUCAACGAAACGUGUCUGAUUGAUUCACUGCAGGAGGUCUGGAAAUAUCUUAAUGGGGGCGGAAAGUUUCAGAUAUUUUGCCUCAAAUUGUGAAUCAGAAGUAGACCUGUCAAUCAACGUGUAGCCCCGCCCUAAAGCAGGUUUAUGGUCUGUUUGACUCAUCCUCCAGCAGAGACCAGUCCACUGUGGACAGACCCACAAGCUCCAGCAGAGACCAGUCCACCGUGGACAGACCCAGAUCCUCCAGCAGAGACCAGUCCACCGUGGACAGACCCAGAUCCUCCAGCAGAGACCAGUCCACCGUGGACAGACCCACAACCUCCAGCAGAGACCAGUCCACCGUGGACAGACCCAGAUCCUCCAGCAGAGACCAGUCCACCGUGGACAGACCCAGAUCCUCCAGCAGAGACCAGUCCACUGUGGACAGACCCAGAUCCUCCAGCAGAGACCAGUGCACCGUGGACAGACCCGACAUAAUCCCCAAUCCCUCUUUUAGCAGUUUUAUGUAAAGUAGCCUUCAAAUACCUCAGGCCUCCUCAGCCAUUUCUUCUCUAAAGCUUUAAUGGAUUUUCCAGUUUUUUUUAUUGCACUGGAUUGUUCAGAAGAAAAGCCGUUAGUCGGCACAGCCGGUAAAAGCUCAGAACCCCUCCAGGUCUUAAAGACCUCGUCUCCUCUCAUUACCUCCAUGGAGACUAAUGACGGCCCAGCACAGCAACUUAACCAGCUCCAAUGAGUUGCUCUCUGUGGCGGCACUUUGCAUCCCAUGACAACGAGUCGAGCGAGUAUAGAUACUCACAGGAGACUCCACUGGGUACAUUUGGUAGCAUUACUAAAUAUUUAUUAUUUGAUUAGGAAAAGAUAAUUCACCUCACAACGUGAUUAUGAGUAUAGACCUUUCAAUGAAAGAUCUCACGAUGAAGAGAAAAGAUCUUGUACAAGAUGAGGUGCUGUCAUUUUGGGUUCUCCUAAUCACUGGAGGUGUAACAAUUCAUCUUAACAACGAUUCGAUUCAUGGACGAUGUGGGUUAAUUUAGAACGACUCGAUUCAGUGACUUGAAAUCGAUUCAGUAACUUUACUGGACGGUGCAGGCAAAGUUUCUGAGAUCCCUGUUGUUUCUGUAAGGAAAUCAGGUUUAAAUUAAUUAUGGAUAUUAUAAACAAGCAAACAACAAUUAAUGGCAAAUGUAUUAACCUUUUAUUUGAAUCAGGUGCCAUUUUCAAUGUAAACAUUACACAAUAAUUACACAGUGUUUGGAUUUCACAUAACCCUGAAUGUUCAACCACAUUGUAGGGUCGCACGUCUUUACAGAUAAACUUGUUCCUGUGAUGUGAGUUUGGUGCUGGAGGCCUGAGGCGUCUGCAGAGCUGAGUUACCUGCUGCUGCUGCAGCGGUGACGCUGCUGGAGGUCCUGACUGUCGCCGUUGUUUAAUCCCACGGCGCCUUAGUAGACGGCCGCAAAGAUCCGUCGUGUUUCCGUGUUUUUUUAUUUGGCUUCUACAUAUUCUACAAACAGCGACCGACUUAUUUAGAACACCUCCGUGUUUGCAGAAGCCAAAAUGUUUCCACGCGCUGGAUCGAUGACUUGGUUUGUAAAUGUCUCGCUCGCUGUCGUCUCCUCCACGCUCCCCCCCUCCCUCCAUAUCCUCCCUGAUGUUUCUGAUUCCGAUCCUUUGGCCUGUGAUGUGUAUGUGUGUGUUUCUCCUGGAGGAGAGAUCUGUUGGUAGAUGUCUAAAAUGUCUCCGUCCUCCGACCGGUCGAUGCUCUUUUGACUUUCUCCUCUCGUCCUUAUUUUACUUUGCCGGCUGCACGCCGACAAACCGCCAUACGAGACAAAGACAGGAGACAGGAGACAGGAGACAGGAGCGCUGCAGCAUGUGGCGAGUAUCAGACUAAUCCAACGCCUGCGGGAGGAUCUCCUCGAUCCUCUGAGUCCAAUUACAGAGUGUUGAGUGAGCAGACGUCAACCACCUCCACACACACACACACACACACAUGCACACACACAUGCACACACACACAUGCACACACACACACACACACAUGCACACACACAUGCACACACACAUGCACACACACGCACACACACGCACACACAUGCACACGCACACAUGCACACACACACGCACGCACACACAUGCACACGCACACAUGCACACACACGCACGCGCACACAUGCACACGCACACACACAUGCACACACAUGCACAUGCACACAUGCACACGCACGCGUGCGCACACACGCACGCGCACACAUGCACACGCACACACACGCACACACACACACACACACACACACGCACAUGCACACACA